GGAAUUACUGGGCGUAAGCGCACGCAGGCGGUUUGUUAAGUCUGAUGUGAAAUCCCCGGGCUCAACCUGGGAACUGCAUUUGAAACUGGCAAGCUUGAGUCUUGUAGAGGGGGGUAGAAUUCCAUGUGUAGCGGUGAAAUGCGUAGAGAUCUGGAGGAAUACCGGUGGCGAAGGCGGCCCCCUGGACAAAGACUGACGCUCAGGUGCGAAAGCGUGGGGAGCAAACAGGAUUAGAUACCCUGGUAGUCCACGCUGUAAACGAUGUCGCUUGGUGUUUGUUCCCUUGAGGACUGGCUUCCGGAGCUACGCGUUUAUCGACCGCCGGGGAGUACGGCCCCAGGUUUAAACUCCAAUGGAUUUGCCGGGGCCCCCCCCAGCGGGGGAACAUGGGGGUUAAUUCCAUGCCACCCCAAAAACCUUACCUACGCUUGACCUUCAUAUAACUUCCCUAAAAUGCUUUGGUGCCUUCCGGAACUCUGAGACAGGGGCUGCCUGGCUGUCGUCAGCUCCGGGUGUGAAAUGGUGGGUUAAGUUCCGCAACGAGCGGCACCCUUAUCCUUUGUUGCCAUCAUUCGGUCGGGACUCUAAGGAGACUGCCGGUGACUAACUGGAGGAAAGUGGGGAUGACGUCAAUCAUCAUGGCCCUUACGAGUAGGGCUACACACGUGCUACAAUGGCAUGUACAAAGAGAAGCGACCUCGCGAGAGCGAGCGGAUCUCAUAAAGCAUGUCUCAGUCCGGAUUGGAGUCUGCAACUCGACUCCAUGAAGUCGGAAUCGCUAGUAAUCGUAGAUCAGAAUGCUACGGUGAAUACGUUCCCCGGGCUUGUACACAACCGCCGUCACACCAUGAGGAGUGUGUUGCAACAGAAGUAGGUAGCUUAACCUUCUGUGAGGCGCUUACCACUUGUGAUCAUGACUGGUGACA
Molecule: ribosomal RNA, 926 nt
Filed under: Klebsiella ornithinolytica
Lineage: Bacteria; Pseudomonadati; Pseudomonadota; Gammaproteobacteria; Enterobacterales; Enterobacteriaceae
Description: bacterial SSU rRNA
Rfam family: Bacterial small subunit ribosomal RNA
Source: RNAcentral